RNAcentral lists this ribosomal RNA (253 nucleotides) under uncultured bacterium. Its description in RNAcentral is "partial 16S ribosomal RNA". It matches the Rfam family "Bacterial small subunit ribosomal RNA", at positions 524 to 776 of the family's 1533-position model. The record is from RNAcentral.
UACAGAGGUGGCAAGCGUUGUUCGGAAUUACUGGGCGUAAAGGGCGCGUAGGCGGCCUUCUAAGUCAGACGUGAAAUCCCCAGGCUUAACUUGGGAACUGCGUCUGAUACUGGGAGGCUUGAAUGCGGGAGAGGGAUGUGGAAUUCCAGGUGUAGCGGUGAAAUGCGUAGAUAUCUGGAGGAACACCGGUGGCGAAGGCGGCGUUCUGGACUGCAACUGACACUGAGGAACGAAAGCCAGGGGAGCAAACGGG